This 447-nucleotide ribosomal RNA is filed under the name Triticum aestivum (bread wheat). Its description in RNAcentral is "partial small subunit ribosomal RNA". The record is from RNAcentral. Lineage: Eukaryota; Viridiplantae; Streptophyta; Magnoliopsida; Poales; Poaceae.
UCCGGCGACUGCAACAGGGAUCACGGCUCGGUCUGCUGUAAAGACGGUCACCGCUACCCGCAAUUCAGGUGCUCGCCCCCGGUGUCGGCCGACACGCCGGCGAUCCUAACUCUGAACAGCUUCGCACGAGGUGGAGACGGCGGCGGCAAAUCGUUCUGCGACAACCGCUUCCACAAGGACACCGAGCUGGUGGUGGCGUUGUCCACGGGGUGGCUGCGCCUGGACGGCAAGCGCAGGUGCAACAAGAUGAUCCGCAUCAACGGGAACGGGCGUGCCGUGCUGGCCAAGGUCGUCGAUGAGUGUGACUCGGUGUACGGCUGCGACGCCGAGCACAACUUCGAGCCACCGUGCCCAUACAAUGACGUAGACGCGUCACCGGCCGUGUGGAAGGCGUUGGGGCUCAAGGAGAAAAUUGGAGUGUUCAAGAUCACUUGGUCUGAUGUGUGA